GUCUUUUUGUUGUGGGGAAGUCCAGGUACCCUGCCACGUCCACUCUGGGUUUUUUUUUGUUUUUGUUAGAUGUAUAUCUACUUUGUAUCCAUCUGAUGAGUUAAGCCCUUUUCAACUGAUUUUUAUAGUUUGUUCUUAUGUUGUACUGUUUCACCACUGUCGCAGGUGCGGGGUAGGGUUAGGGCCUUCAAACUAGUAUAACCCCGCCACGUUCUGUAUGUGCCUGUCCCAAAUCAUGGGCCUGUAAUUCAGUGGUUGUCGUAUGUUGCUGUAUAUUAUAUUUGUUUUUCGUUCAUUAUUUUGAACACAAAUCAGGCCGUUAGUUUUCUCGUUUGAAUUGUUUUACAUUUAUCAUUUUGGGGCCUUUUAUAGCUCACUAUGCGGUAAGGGUUUUACUCAUUCUUGAAGGCCAUACAGUGAACUAUAGUUGUUAAUUUCUGUGUCUUUUGGUCUCUUGUUGAGAGUUGUCUCGUUGGCAAUCAUACCACAUCUUCUUGUUUUUACAUGUAAUUAAUGCAUGAAAAGAACACUGUUGUAAAUAUUCCCACUAUAAAUUUUGAGUACAAAUUAUACUUAUUUUUAUUCUUUUAACACUGUUUAAAGUACCUGACCAUAACGAAGGUCUCAUAUUACCGUAUAAUAAACAGAUAAAUUAUGGCCCGCUGUAAAUAUAUCCCCUUACCACUUUUAUUUAAAAAUGAAUUUUAAUAUUUAAAGGGUAAGAUAAGGUUUUUACAUUUUACUACCGUGUUACACGGGUGCUUCGAUGCGGAUGAAUUUACGAAGAAAAGAAAAAAAGAUGUACAUAUAAGUAUGCUAAAACAUAGUAAACAUUUUUAACAACGAACAAAACUUGUUUAAAAUAUUAUGGAGUGUCCGUUCAUUCAGUUAAUGUGUUUCAUUUUGCUAACUUGGGUGCUUUGCACAGUUGCAAAACCAACAGCAUACGUUGGGUCAUACAACCUCAACUUCAAAAGUUUAAAAUUUGAAACAAAAUCAUACACAUGGAAAAAAACUUCACAAACAUCUCCCUUUGACGUAAACAAGCAUCAAUUCUUUACUGUGCCUGCUGGUGGAAUGUUGAAAGCAGAAUUAUCACUAACGACUAGAAGCAAGCAUAGGAAACUGAGGACCGCCGCUUGUAUUACCCUAAUACGCACGAAUAAGAAAACCUGUCAAAAAAUAUCUGGUAUACCAGGAAAAAGAAAAGAGUUCAUCGGUCAGUUAAUUCUUCAUGAAGUGUUUAAAGUGGAGAAAUAUGAUCAACUUGAAGUGGCAAUUGUACGUGGGAAAAAAUACAUCUACAAAGUCGCCGAAUACAAUCGCCUUAGGUUAUAUUAUCUUUAGAAGUACAGGAAGACAAAUAAUAUUUUGUGAAAAUUCCAUAGAAUUUUAGAUAUAUUAAAUACUAAACUGGUA
Mytilus californianus (California mussel) is the source of this 1419-nucleotide long non-coding RNA. RefSeq lists it as uncharacterized. The transcript has 2 exons. NCBI's taxonomy places the organism in Eukaryota, Metazoa, Mollusca, Bivalvia, Mytilida, Mytilidae. The record is from RefSeq and is a predicted model, not a curated record.